CCAGGCACGAAAACCACCGGAUGCUUGGCGGUUAGCCCUUCUUUUUUUAAUUUCACACCAGGCGGAUCCGGCAUUGGCCCCGUGAUUGCCUCCGUCACGUACUGAGGGAAAGACGCAGGCAUUGCGUUGUACAAGAAAAGCAAAAACCACCACAUCGAGCAUAUAAAACCAAUGAACCAACAACAGCUGUCGGCGCAAGUCCAUUUCUUUAUCCUCCUCUCUCCUCCGUCUUGCUUUCCGGUUAAGUUUCUCCUUCCCUUUAUCCUUCUUGUUCUCGUCUGCGUCUUUUUCUUUCUCAGCCUCUGAGAAAUCUGAAGAAUUCCGAACUUUUGACCUCCGUCUCAAAAUCGACAUCGUAUUGAAUAAACAAGAGAAUCUAUAUCUAUUAUGUUCCAGUUCAUGAAUAGAAACUGAGGCUGAGCUGUUUUGGCUUGGAGCAGAGUGAACAGUCCAACCCUAACCCUAAUUUCGACCCACACAUGUAUACAAUUACGAAAUCCACCGUUUGGAACCACGAACAACGGAUACCGG
RNAcentral lists this unclassified non-coding RNA (531 nucleotides) under Hevea brasiliensis (rubber tree). The record is from RNAcentral. Lineage: Eukaryota; Viridiplantae; Streptophyta; Magnoliopsida; Malpighiales; Euphorbiaceae.